This 301-nucleotide ribosomal RNA is filed under the name uncultured bacterium. Its description in RNAcentral is "partial 16S ribosomal RNA". It matches the Rfam family "Bacterial small subunit ribosomal RNA", at positions 509 to 807 of the family's 1533-position model. The record is from RNAcentral.
CAGCAGCCGCGGUAAUACGUAGGGUGCGAGCGUUAAUCGGAAUUACUGGGCGUAAAGCGUGCGCAGGCGGUUAUGUAAGACAGGUGUGAAAUCCCCGGGCUUAACCUGGGAACUGCGCUUGUGACUGCACAGCUAGAGUAUGGCAGAGGGGGGUGGAAUUCCACGUGUAGCAGUGAAAUGCGUUGAGAUUGGAAAGAACACCAACGGCGAAAACACUCUGUUGGGCCGACACUGACACUGAGAGACGAAAGCUAAGGGAGCAAAUGGGAUUAGAUACCCCCGUAGUCCCUGUCUCUUAUAC